This is an RNA transcript of Melospiza melodia melodia, 2853 nucleotides long. It is a transcript of the gene named actin binding LIM protein family member 3, with no coding region annotated. The record is from RefSeq and is a predicted model, not a curated record. The transcript is spliced from 22 exons. NCBI's taxonomy places the organism in Eukaryota, Metazoa, Chordata, Aves, Passeriformes, Passerellidae.
GUGCCGUCCCCUCCCCGCCGGCCGUGACCUUGGCAUCCGCCGGCCGCGGGGACGGCGCCGGGGACAGCGCCGGGGGAUGCGAUAGCGGCGGAUCGCACGGGAAUAUUCUCCGGGGAGAGCGAGAGCGGCAGCCUCCUCCCGCGGCCGGGGAGCGGCACGAGAGGCGGAUUUAAGGAGCAUCUUGGCCCCUUUGUUGGGUGAGAAGGACGGCAAGGAGCGGCAGGAUGAGCACCAGCAUUCCCUACCAGCAGAGCCCCUACAGCUCCGGGAGCAGCUCCUCUGCCAUCCAGUGCUACCGCUGUGGGGACACCUGCAAGGGCGAGGUCGUGCGCGUGCAGAGCAACCACUUCCACAUCCGCUGCUUCACCUGCCAAGUGUGUGGCUGUGACCUGGCCCAGUCAGGUUUCUUCUUCAAGAACCAGGAGUACAUCUGCACCCAGGACUACCAGCAGCUGUACGGGACCCGCUGUGACAGCUGUGGGGACUUCAUCACCGGCGAGGUCAUCUCUGCCCUGGGCAGGACCUACCACCCCAAGUGCUUUGUCUGCAGCACCUGCAGGAAGCCGUUCCCCAUCGGGGACAAGGUGACGUUCAGCGGGAAGGACUGCGUGUGCCAGAACUGCUCCCACGCCCUGCUCAGCACCAAGCCCAUCAAGAUCCACGGGCCCAGCCACUGCGCUGGCUGCAAGGAGGAGAUCAAGCAGGGCCAGUCCCUGCUGGCCCUGGAGAAGCAGUGGCACGUCAGCUGCUUCAAGUGCCAAACGUGCGGGGUCAUCCUCACCGGCGAGUACAUCAGCAAGGAUGGCAUCCCCUACUGCGAGUCCGACUACCACGCCCAGUUCGGCAUCAAGUGCGAGACCUGCGACCGCUACAUCAGCGGCCGUGUCCUGGAGGCAGGAGGGAAGCACUACCACCCCACCUGUGCCAGAUGUGUGCGCUGCCACCAGAUGUUCACAGAGGGAGAGGAGAUGUACCUGACAGGCUCUGAGGUGUGGCACCCCAUCUGCAAGCAGGCAGCCAGAGCAGAGAAGAAGCUGAAGCACAGAAGGACGUCAGAAACCUCCAUCUCGCCCCCUGGCUCCAGCAUUGGCUCCCCAAACCGUGUCAUCUGUGCUAAAGUGGAUAAUGAGAUCCUUAAUUACAAAGACCUGGCAGCUCUUCCCAAGAUUAAAGCCAUCUAUGAGGUGCAGCGUCCCGACCUCAUUUCCUACGAGCCCUAUCACAGAUACACGUCGGACGAGACGCUGGAGAGAUAUAGCUAUGGGGAGUCCCUGGGGACCCUCUCCCCAUACUCACAGGACAUCUACGAGAGCUUCGACCCGCGGCAGAGGCGAGCCUCCAGCCCCGGCUACAUCGACUCCCCCACCUACAGCCGCCAGGGCAUGUCCCCCACCAUGCCCAGGUCCCCCCACCACUUCUACCGCUCAGGCACCGAGAGCGGGCGCAGCUCCCCCUACUAUAGCCAGUUAGAUGUGAGGUCCUCCACUCCAACCUCAUACCAAGCGCCCAAGCAUUUCCACAUCCCAGCUGCUGGCGAGAGCAACAUCUACAGGAAACCGCCCAUCUACAAGCGGCACGCCACCAAGAGCAAAACCAGCGAGGACAUCGCUCAGUCAUCCAAGUACAGCCCUGCCUACUCCCCUGACCCCUACUACCACUCUGAGUCUGAGUACUGGUCCUUCCAGGGCUCACCCAAAGCUCCCCGGGCCCGGAGGUUCUCCUCAGGUGGGGAGGAGGACGGGUACGACCGGGGCAUGCACAAGAUCCAGAGUGGCAUCGGGAGGCUGAUCCUGAGGGAGGAGAUGAAGGCUCGCUCCAACUCCUACGCAGACCCCUGGACCCCCCCCCGCAGCUCGGCCAGCAGCAGGGAGGCCCUGCACACCGUGGGCUACGAGGGCUCCCUCAAUGGCUCUCCCCGCACCCAUUACCUGGCUGACAGCGAUCCCCUCAUUUCUAAAUCGGCCUCGCUCCCUGCCUACAGGAGGAACGGGCUGCACAGGCCUCCCAGCGCGGAGCUGUUCCACUACGACAGCACCAACGCCGUCAACUGGGGCAUGCGAGAGUACAAGGUAAGAGCCUUCUGCUGCGAGGAGAGGCCACCAGCCAGAGCCCCAGGGAUGUGUCCGUGUGUCCCCAGGCUCUGCAGAGGGAAACUCAGCCCUCUGCCUUUGUUCUGCUCCAUCCUGGACCUGGCAGCCCCAUCCCAGCGCCGUGGGGCUCACACCAGAGCCCCUUCCCUGCCCAGGUGCUGCUGAGCACAAUUGUCCCCUGGGUGAGGAGCAGAGCAGGGGCUGUGCUGCUCACACCCUGCCUGGGUCACUCCUGCUGGUUGUUCCAGAGCCACCACAGAGCUCCGGGGUGGAUCAGAGUCACCCUGAGAGCAGCUCCCACCUCUCCUUGUCCCACCCGGGCUCUGCAGGCAGCUGUGCCACCCAAGCCCUGUUAAAUGCAGGGGGCAGGAGGCCUUGCCCUUGUUCCCAAGGGUGCCCCAGUGUCCCUGUCCCUGUCCCUGUGCAGAUUUACCCCUACGAGCUGCUCCUGGUGAAGACGAGGGGGAGGAACCAGCUGCCCAAAGACGUGGACAGGACUCGGUUAGAGAGACACCUGUCCCAGGAGGAAUUCUACCAGAUCUUCGGCAUGACCAUGGCCGAAUUCGACCGCCUGGCGCUGUGGAAGAGGAACGAGCUGAAGAAGCAGGCCCGGCUGUUCUGAGCCAGGGCACUAUAAAUAUAUACAUACCUAUAAAUAUAUACAUAGAGAGAUCUCUAUAUGGCAGCUCUGUAUGAUUCUGGGGGCUGCACGGGCCGCUGGGGCCCUCCCUGCACCCCUGAGAGUGAAUUGGAGUCUUGCAGA